CAGAACCAGAACAACUCUCAGGCAGGCAGGCAGCCGAUGGGUGGUUAGUCAUAAAGACUCCAAGGACCUAGUUCCCAGAAUCAGCUCCAAAACAAGACCCCCCCCCCCCCAAGCACGGAGCUUUCUGCCUCAAUCCCAAGGCUCGGCAACUCUCAAGGCUCCUUCUCCAGGGGCUGGGUAGGGCAGGGCCCCAGUCCUGCAGAGCACACCCAGGUCUUGAGCUGAGCGCUUUCACUGACUACCUGUGAUUUCAGCAAACCGAGGGUAGGUGGUACGGGGAGGGAGGAGGCAGGCUGAGGGAGAACAAGCGGUUCCUGAAAAAGACAGAACAAUCUUUCGGGGUGGGCCGGGAGACGGGGUCUGAGAGGACAUAUUACCGCCGUGGAGGUUAGUGCAUCAGCAGGAAGUCACACUAACUUCAUUUCAAAGGAUAACAAGCUGGAAAGUUUGAUUUGCUUUUAAUUCCCUGUCUCCUAGGGCCUCACAUAAAGAGACUGGAAAUUCCUUGAACUCCAGAACCAGGCUCAGUAGUUACCUCGAGAAAGAAGAGUUCUUAGGUCUAAGUCCUUUCAAAUUCAUAUCCUUUCUUCUAUGAACAAAUUCUGAUUUUCUUGAGAAAACAAAGAAAAUUUCCCUUUCCCUUCGGAUUUCAUCUAUAACAUUUCAAGCUGUAUAUUUAAAGGACCACUGAGACACUGCUUUGAAGAUAUGGAGGCUAGGGAUAGAGCGCUGCGGCACAGCACCUGCCUGACCUGAAGAUGAAACUGAGGGCCUCUUGCAUGCUAGUCAAGCACUGUACCACUGAGCUGCAUCCAGCUCCUCACCUCCACUCUUGCUUCCAUAAUGUGAAUGCUAGUAGGCAUCAAUUCUAUUAAUGUAGUCUAGUAUCUAAACAUAACAUGCUCAAAAAGAAAAUAACAUGCUCAAGAAAGAAUAUAAUUUUUACCUCUUUGCAAGUAUUUUAGUCAUGGGAAGUAAAUUUUGAAUGAGUACUUAAAGAAAUACUGCCACCCUCUGGGUAGAAAAGGUCAUGUUUCUUUUAGGAAGUACCAGAAGCAAAUACCAGACAGCAUUCAUAGGUGACAGAUAAGUUUGUAGUUUAGUUGCUGAGUGUGAUGGCACGACUGUAGUUCCAGCACUGAGGAGGCUGAAGCAGGAGGAUCACCACAAGUUUAAUGAUAGCAUAGGCCACAUGGUGAGUUCAAGCCCAGCCUGAGCUACCUACCAAGACCCAUCCCCUCUGCUAAAAAAACCAAUUUUGGCUUCAAACCCAGAUCUAUCGCUUGCUGCAUUAAACUAAAAAACUCAACCUUCAGAAGCAUCAGGUUUUUUUAAAAAUGCUGUGGCUGCUUAUUUCUCAGGAAUUGUAAGAACAAUCAAAUCACUAUAAAGUUAGUUUGUUGUUUAUGGAUUUUUUUUUUUUUUUUGUCUUUUUUGGUACCAGGGAUCAAACUCACAACUGCCUGCUUGCAAGGCAGGCGUUUAUGCCGCUGAGCCAAAUCCCCAGCCCCUGUGGAAUAUUUUUACAAGUAUGGUUUAUAUUUUUUCCAAAAUAUAGUAUGUUGGAGUAAAAAAAUUAAUUUCAGCUGGGUGCAGUAGCAUAUGCCUGUAACCCCAGCAUUUGGGAGGCUAAUGUAGAACGAUCUCCACGGGUGUUUAAGGCCAGCCUGAACUACAUACUGAGAUCCUGUCUCUAAAAAACAUUUUUUUUUCUGGUGUCAGGGAUCAAACUCACCACCAUGUGCUUCCAAGGCAGGUGCUUAUGCCGCUGAGCUAAAUUCCCAGCCCCAAAACUUGUUUUUAAAUACUUAAACUGUUGUGUGUGUCUGUUGGGAGCACUCAGGAGACUGAGGCAGAGGGGUUCCUUGAGGCAUGGAGUCUUGGAGUCUAAAGAAAGGGCAGUAUAUAGAGAGCCUGUCUCUCAAUAAAAGGAAGAAAAGAAGGAAGAAAUUUAAGUGGAUAGUAACAAUGGGAAGGAAAUGAAUUCUAGACCUAUGUUAAAGAUAAGGAAGCAGGAGAAAUACAAGAUUACAUGUGAGCUUCUGGCUGAACAGAUUUUGAUGUCAUUCAUUGAAAUAGGAAGUACAAAUUAAGAAAUGUGUCCAGAGAGCCGGGGGUUUAGCUCAGCAGCAUAAGCGCCUGCCUUGCAAGCACAUGGACUGGAAGCUCUGAAAGUAUGAGCCCAAAUAAACCUUGCUAAUUGAUACAAACUUUAUAAAUACAAUUUUAAAAAUGAAAUAACACUAAAUGCCAUGUUGCCUGUUAAAAUGGCAAACAUUUAAAAAACGUGAUAACUAGUUGAGGUGAAGGAGAAAAAAACAGGUACAUUAUUGGUGAUACUGUUAAGGCAGAGUGACUAUUAUGGGAGACAAAGGCAAUUGGCAAGACAUCAAAUUACAAAUGUAUAUACUCUGACCCAUCAACUAGAUUUUGAAGAAUUUAUCCUGCAGUUUUUUCCCCAAAUCCAUUUUAUUUCAAGGAAAAUAAGGAAAAAAAUUCCAAACACAUCAAUCAGGGGGCAUCAAUGGUAUAUACACUGUGCACUGUCAUCCCCAAAUCAUUCACCCAGAACACAAGACAUCUGCAUUCAAUUGUCCGAAUAAUACCAGCACAAAUCUUUCUCUGCAGUGAACUCAGAGAAAUCAGUACUAUAACUAUUUUUACUAUUUUUAUAUACAUAUACAUAUAUGUAUACAUAUGUUGUUUCAGCAUCUUACACUGAGACAAUAUUGUUUACACGUGUGUCUUAUUUCACUAAUGUGUAUGGACUGAAGUUACAACCAUUUACCUAUAAAAGUCUAGUUUAUCCUUCUUUAUGGCUGAAUAAUUUCCCAUUGUACAAAUAUACCUCAUGUUUUUUAUCCAUUUCUCGUCAGUUGGCAUUUAGGCUGUUUCCAAGAUCUGGCUAUUACAAAUUGUGCUGCUGUUAAACAUAGGUUCACAUAUAUCGCUGUGGUAUGAUUAUAAUUCUUUUGGGAAGAUAUCCAGAAGAGAAAUAGCUAGGUCAAACAGGAACUCCAGUCCUAGUUUUUUGAGGAAUCUCCACACUGAUUUCGGCAGUGGUUGUACCAGUCUGCAUUCUCAACCAACAGUGUAAAAGAGUCCCUUUUCCCCACAGCCCCUACAGCAUUUGUUAUUGCUUGAUUUCUUGAUAAUAGCCCUUCUUUCAGGGGUAAAGUAGAAUCUCAAUGUUGUUUUAAUUUGCAUCUCUCAAAUGACUAUCCUGCAGUUGUUUGUUUUGUUUUGCUGGUGGUUUUUUGAGAUAGAGUCUCACUAUGUAGCCCAGGCUGGCCUUGAACUCAUAGUGAUCCUCCUGCCUCAGCCUCCUGAGAGCUAGAGUUAUAUACUAUAGUUUUAUUUAGAUUUGAGUUUCCCUAAUCUUAAAAUCCAAAAUCUGAGAUGAUUUCAAAAUCUUAAAUACUGGACAACCCAUUUGGGAUCCUUUCUGUCUCUCUCAGACAGAAGCUUUCUUUCUCUCAAUAAAUAUAUUCUCUUGGGGCUGGGGAUUUAGCUCAGUGGCAUAAGCACCUGCCUUGCAAGCAGGCGGUUGGUUGUGAGUUCGAUCCCCAGUACCGAUUUUAUAUAUAUAUAUAUAUAUAUAUAUAUAUAUAUAUAUAUAUAUAUAUAUAUUUGAGUGCCAACAUAAUAUACUAGUAGAAAAUUUCACACAUCACCUACUGUGAUAGGUUGUAGUCAAAAUGUACCACACAAAAUAUUGCAUAAAGUUAUCUUCAGGUAUGUAUGUAAGGCAUAUUUGAAACAAAUAAAUUUGUGUUUGGUCUUGGGUUCCAGCCUUAAGAUACCUCAUUAUGUGUCAGGGAUGUUGGUGAAUGUUUAUAAGCCCAGUGUCCUGGGAGGUUGAGGCAGAAGAAUAAAUUCUACUCUAGCCUAAGCAAUUCAGCAACUGAAUGAGACCCUGCCUCAAAAUUAAAAAAAAAAAAAAGACAAAGGCUAUACCUCACUGCAAUGAGGUUGUGGGGGCACAUACAUGUAAUCCCAGCAUUUGGGAGGCUGAGGCAGGAGACUCACUGCAAGUUCAAGUCCACCUCAAGUUCAAUGCCAGCUUAGGUUACACAGUAAGUUCAAGGCCAGUAUGGGCUAUAUAGAGAGACUCUCACAAUGAUAUGAUCAAAAUAUAUCCAUGUACAAAAAUACCACACUGAAAUCCAGUAUGUUUGUGCUUGCUUUGUCAGCACAUUUACUGUACUAAAAUUGGAACAAUAUAGAGAUUAAGGGUCAAGUAUAUAGCUCAGCUGCAUGGUGCCUGCCUUGUAAGCACAAGUUUAGAAGUUUGUUUCCAGUACAAAAAAAAAAAAAUUACCAGAGAUUAACAUGUCCUCUAUACAAAGAUGACAUACAGAUUCACAGAGUAUUUCAUAUUUGUGUUCUCCAAUGGAAAGGGGAUCAAGAGAUGAAGGAGGGGAGAGGGGAAGAGAAUGAAAAAAUGAAGAUGUGCUAUGUACAUGCACCAGCUCCCCACAAGGAAUGCAAACAUGCCCUUCAAAUAUGUACUGAUAAAAAACAGAAAGCUUUAAAAAUCCAGUAUUUUGUAAAAGUAAUAGGCACUAAUAAAGAUAUAUUUUUUAAAAGUUA
This is a long non-coding RNA of Cavia porcellus (domestic guinea pig), 4593 nucleotides long. RefSeq lists it as uncharacterized. The record is from RefSeq and is a predicted model, not a curated record. Lineage: Eukaryota; Metazoa; Chordata; Mammalia; Rodentia; Caviidae. The transcript is spliced from 3 exons.